RNAcentral lists this ribosomal RNA (446 nucleotides) under uncultured bacterium. RNAcentral describes it as "partial 16S ribosomal RNA". It matches the Rfam family "Bacterial small subunit ribosomal RNA", at positions 338 to 795 of the family's 1533-position model. The record is from RNAcentral.
CCUACGGGAGGCAGCAGUCGAGAAUCAUUCACAAUGGGGGAAACCCUGAUGGUGCGACGCCGCGUGGGGGAAUGAAGGUCUUCGGAUUGUAAACCCCUGUCAUGUGGGAGCAAAUUAAAAAGAUAGUACCACAAGAGGAAGAGACGGCUAACUCUGUGCCAGCAGCCGCGGUAAUACAGAGGUCUCAAGCGUUGUUCGGAAUCACUGGGCGUAAGGCGUGCGGAGGCUGUCUCGUAAGUCGUGUGUGAAAGGCGCGGGCUCAACCCGCGGACGGCACAUGAUACUGCGAGACUAGAGUAAUGGAGGGGGAACCGGAAUUCUCGGUGUAGCAGUGAAAUGCGUAGAUAUCGAGAGGAACACUCGUGGCGAAGGCGGGUUCCUGGACAUUAACUGACGCUGAGGCACGAAGGCCAGGGGAGCGAAAGGGAUUAGAUACCCGUGUAGUC